AACGCGAAGAACCUUACCUGGUCUUGACAUCCACAGAACUUUCCAGAGAUGGAUUGGUGCCUUCGGGAACUGUGAGACAGGUGCUGCAUGGCUGUCGUCAGCUCGUGUUGUGAAAUGUUGGGUUAAGUCCCGCAACGAGCGCAACCCUUAUCCUUUGUUGCCAGCGGUCCGGCCGGGAACUCAAAGGAGACUGCCAGUGAUAAACUGGAGGAAGGUGGGGAUGACGUCAAGUCAUCAUGGCCCUUACGAGUAGGGCUACACACGUGCUACAAUGGCAUAUACAAAGAGAAGCGACCUCGCGAGAGCAAGCGGACCUCAUAAAGUAUGUCGUAGUCCGGAUUGGAGUCUGCAACUCGACUCCAUGAAGUCGGAAUCGCUAGUAAUCGUAGAUCAGAAUGCUACGGUGAAUACGUUCCCGGGUCUUGUACACACC
RNAcentral lists this ribosomal RNA (433 nucleotides) under uncultured Klebsiella sp. Its description in RNAcentral is "bacterial SSU rRNA". It matches the Rfam family "Bacterial small subunit ribosomal RNA", at positions 958 to 1391 of the family's 1533-position model. Lineage: Bacteria; Pseudomonadati; Pseudomonadota; Gammaproteobacteria; Enterobacterales; Enterobacteriaceae. The record is from RNAcentral.